GCGGAGCGGGGGGAGGCGGGGGCAUGGCGUGUGCGGUACCGGCCGCCCGUGGGGCUCCCGCCAAGGCGAAGAGCGGCCUGGGGGGUCUCCGGAGCUUAACCCCGCUGCGGCGGGGCGGGGGGUCCUCCGGCAGGGCUAGGUCGCGGGCUCGGUUCCCUUCCCGGGAGCGGCCGGGCCUGGAGCUGCCGCCGCCUGAGGGGGGCCGCGCCGCUUGUCGGGGCGAGCAGAUGGCGCCGCGGAGGGGAGAGCGGCUCCUGGUGCGGGCUUUCGGGAGGAAUUGGGAGCGUUCCCUUCGCUUCAACGUAAGAAAUCCGGGUGGUGGCGUUCCCAGCGAGGCGUGUAGCGGCAGCGGUUGAAGGGGCGGUGUGCGGGGGCUGUUUUGUGAAGUGUUCGCCGUCACUUAAAAGGCUGUAAAGAGUCGCCAACAGCGGGCCGAGCCUGGAGCUGAUGAGUCGGAGCUGACGCUCGCUGGCCGACACAGGCUUUCAGGGACCUGCCCGUGCCUUGGGAGAUGAAGAUGGAGCUAAUUGUGGCUGCCCCAUCCCUGGAGGGGUUCAAGGCCAGGCUGGAUGGGGCUUGGAGCAACCUGGUCUGGUGGGAGGUGUCCCUGCCCAGGGCAGGGGGGUUGGAACUGGAUGAUCUUUAAUGUCCCUCCCAAUUCUAACCAUUCUAUGAUUCUAAUUAGUAUGUGCCUAAUUAGUAUGUGCCACUAGCGGUGGUUGCUUUGAGUGGUAUACUCUUGGUAUAUCAAGUCUUCAAAGCAAUGACAGCUUGGCCAUCUAAAGGGACUUGGGUUUGCUGAUACAUCACUUUCAUCAUCAAACGCUUGUCCUAAUUCUAAAGAUAAAUUACCUCCUUUUUUUUUUUUUCCCUGGAGGAAUUUGGCAAGUGGUGUGUGGUGACCCUGACUGUACCUUUUGGGUCAUUGGCAUGGGUGGGUUGUAGCAGGGAUGGGACCCAUGGGGUUGUUGGCUGUCUCCAUGGCCAUGCUCUCCUGCCAGGACCAUGGGGCCUGACCUUAACCCACAGGAAAACUCAUCACCAGGUUCUCCAGAGCGUGGCACAUGAGUGAGCAUUGCAGGCUGUAACCUGCUGGGGUAAUCCUCUCCUCAGCGAUGGUUCUUUGUUAGGACCAGCAUAAUAGCCCUGCAAUUAGUCAUUUUUUUUGCCCUGAAGCUGGCUUUGGGUCAUGCCUCUGUUUAACCUUGGUCUCCAGGGAUGCCACCCAUAGUUUUCUACCCGGGUAAUGAGGUUGCUCAGGAGGCUGGUGUUUUUUUGACUGGUUUAUUUUCCCCAAGGAGAGCUUUCUGCUACUGGCUCAGCAGUGGAGUUCUCUGAAUCAGACAGGUUUUUUUUUUCUCUCUUUUCACUGUUUUAGGCAGCAAGUGAAGUUGAGAGAUGAAUUGGUUACUGCUGGCUUUGGGAAUCUUCAAUCUGGACUCUGCCACGCCGUUAACUUUGCAAGCAGAAAGAUGACACGUGAAUUCUGGAGCUACAGAAAUGGAAUGAGGAGGAAUAUGGUUGUCUGCGUGCAGGGUUAAGAGGCUGAAAUUCUAACAGAAGGUAUCGUGGCAGCUGUAAAACCUCUUCAGACUUGCUCCCCGGAACAAAGCAGGAGCAAUCCCAGAAUCCCGAAGGAAUCAGAGAGGAGAGAGGUUGAAACCAGCAGCCUGAAACGUGGAGCUCUAAUUCACUUGGAAAUGCUUUCAUGGUCCUUCCUGCUCCUCAGAAAUGAGGCAGAGGAGUAGCUGUUGAGUGAAAAUGUGUGAAUAAUCCUCAAAUGGUGUUCAGGUGAAAGUGUCACUCUAGAAGGGGAGGUGGCCUUGUGGACACUCUUAAUGUGAAUAUGUAAGUGUACCAAAUAAAUGUAUCAAAAUUGAGUAAACCGGGGGUUAAAAUGCGUAAAGAAAAGUUAAAUGUUAUCUUGUCUAAAUAAGUAUUUACAAUGUUAAUGGGAGUGGCUUUUCUGCUUAUCUUUAAGGCAGUGUGUGUAUGAAUAAAAGCUUGGAUUUCUGUUU
Molecule: long non-coding RNA, 2018 nt
Organism: Calidris pugnax (ruff)
Lineage: Eukaryota; Metazoa; Chordata; Aves; Charadriiformes; Scolopacidae
Exons: 3
Source: RefSeq, a predicted model, not a curated record